RNAcentral lists this ribosomal RNA (404 nucleotides) under uncultured bacterium. Its description in RNAcentral is "partial 16S ribosomal RNA". It matches the Rfam family "Bacterial small subunit ribosomal RNA", at positions 28 to 525 of the family's 1533-position model. The record is from RNAcentral.
GAUGAACGCUGGCGGCGUGCCUAAUACAUGCAAGUCGAGCGAAGCGGGGACGGGUGAGUAACACGUGGAUAACCUCCUAUAAGACUGGGAUAACUUCGGGAAACCGGAGCUAAACCGGAUACUUACAGAUGGAUCCGCGCUGCAUUAUCUAGUUGGUAAGGUAACGGCUUACCAAGGCAACGAUGCAUAGCCGACCUGAGAGGGUGGUCGGCAACACUGGAACUGGGAAACGGUCCAGCUUCCUACUGGGGGAAGAGGUAGGGAAUCUUCCGCAAUGGGCGAAAGCCUGACGGGGCAACGCCGCGUGAGUGAUGAAGGUCUUCGGUUCGUAAAACUCUGUUAUUAGGGAAGCGGUACCUAAGCAGAAAGCCACGGCUAACUACGUGCCAGCAGCCGCGGUAAUU